Molecule: ribosomal RNA, 253 nt
Filed under: uncultured bacterium
Lineage: Bacteria
Description: partial 16S ribosomal RNA
Rfam family: Bacterial small subunit ribosomal RNA
Source: RNAcentral
UACGUAGGGUGCAAGCGUUAAUCGGAAUUACUGGGCGUAAAGCGUGCGCAGGCGGCUUUGUAAGUCUGUUGUGAAAUCCCCGGGCUUAACCUGGGAAUGGCGUUGGAGACUGCGAGGCUAGAGUGUGGCAGAGGGGGGUAGAAUUCCACGUGUAGCAGUGAAAUGCGUAGAGAUGUGGAGGAACACCGAUGGCGAAGGCAGCCCCCUGGGUCAAAACUGACGCUCAUGCACGAAAGCGUGGGGAGCAAACAGG